GGAUUAGAUACCCUGGUAGUCCACGCCCUAAACGAUGUCAACUAGCCGUUGGGUUCAUUUAAAGAGCUUAGUGGCGCAGCUAACGCGUUAAGUUGACCGCCUGGGGAGUACGGCCGCAAGGCUAAAACUCAAAGGAAUUGACGGGGGCCCGCACAAGCGGUGGAGCAUGUGGUUUAAUUCGAUGCAACGCGAAGAACCUUACCAGGCCUUGACAUCUAGCGAAGUUUCCAGAGAUGGAUUCGUGCCUUCGGGAACGCUAUGACAGGUGCUGCAUGGCUGUCGUCAGCUCGUGCUG
RNAcentral lists this ribosomal RNA (295 nucleotides) under uncultured bacterium. RNAcentral's name for it is "partial 16S ribosomal RNA". It matches the Rfam family "Bacterial small subunit ribosomal RNA", at positions 775 to 1067 of the family's 1533-position model. The record is from RNAcentral.